UCGGCAUAUUGCCUCCUUUCC
Molecule: non-coding RNA, 21 nt
Filed under: Caenorhabditis elegans
Lineage: Eukaryota; Metazoa; Nematoda; Chromadorea; Rhabditida; Rhabditidae
Source: RNAcentral